UACGUAGGGGGCAAGCGUUAUCCGGAAUUACUGGGUGUAAAGGGAGCGUAGACGGUAAUGUAAGUCUGGAGUGAAAGGCGGGGGCCCAACCCCCGGACUGCUCUGGAAACUAUGUUACUGGAGUGCAGUAGAGGAAAGUGGAAUUCCUAGUGUAGCGGUGGAAUGCGUAGAUAUUAGGAGGAACAUCAGUGGCGAAGGCGACUUUCUGGACUGUAACUGACGUUGAGGCUCGAAAGCGUGGGGAGCAAACAGG
This 253-nucleotide ribosomal RNA is filed under the name uncultured Eubacteriales bacterium. RNAcentral's name for it is "uncultured Clostridiales bacterium partial 16S ribosomal RNA". It matches the Rfam family "Bacterial small subunit ribosomal RNA", at positions 524 to 776 of the family's 1533-position model. The record is from RNAcentral. Lineage: Bacteria; Bacillati; Bacillota; Clostridia; Eubacteriales.